UGGGAAUUUUGGACAAUGGGGGCAACCUGAUCCAGCCAUCCCGCGUGUGCGAUGAAGGCCUUCGGGUUGUAAAGCACUUUUGGCAGGGAAGAAACAGCCUGGGAUAAUACCCCGGGCGACUGACGGUACCUGCAGAAUAAGCACCGGCUAACUACGUGCCAGCAGCCGCGGUAAUACGUAGGGUGCAAGCGUUAAUCGGAAUUACUGGGCGUAAAGCGUGCGCAGGCGGUUCGGAAAGAAAGGUGUGAAAUCCCAGGGCUUAACCUUGGAACUGCACUUUAACUACCGAGCUAGAGUACGUCAGAGGGGGGUAGAAUUCCACGUGUAGCAGUGAAAUGCGUAGAGAUGUGGAGGAAUACCGAUGGCGAAGGCAGCCCCCUGGGAUGAUACUGACGCUCAUGACGAAAGCGUGGGGAGCAAACGGAUUAGAUACCCUGGUAGUCCACGCCCU
RNAcentral lists this ribosomal RNA (451 nucleotides) under uncultured bacterium. RNAcentral describes it as "partial 16S ribosomal RNA". It matches the Rfam family "Bacterial small subunit ribosomal RNA", at positions 356 to 803 of the family's 1533-position model. The record is from RNAcentral.